RNAcentral lists this transfer RNA (91 nucleotides) under Bos taurus (domestic cattle). RNAcentral's name for it is "tRNA-Ser". The record is from RNAcentral. Lineage: Eukaryota; Metazoa; Chordata; Mammalia; Artiodactyla; Bovidae.
GCCCGNAUGAUCCCUAGUGGUCUGGGGUGCAGGCUNCANAACCUCUAGCUGUCUAGCGACAGAUGGUUCANAUUCCACCUUCCGGGCGCCA